CACGUAGGGGGCGAGCGUUGUUCGGAAUUACUGGGCGUAAAGGGCAUGUAGGCGGUUUUGUAAGACUGGCGUGAAAGGCUGCAGCUUAACUGUAGCAUGGCGCUGGUAACUACAAGACUUGAGUCACGGAGAGGGAGCUAGAAUUCCAGGUGUAGGGGUGAAAUCUGUAGAUAUCUGGAAGAAUACCAGUGGCGAAGGCGAGCUUCUGGCCGAUGACUGACGCUGAGGUGCGAAAGCGUGGGUAGCAAACAGG
This 253-nucleotide ribosomal RNA is filed under the name uncultured bacterium. Its description in RNAcentral is "partial 16S ribosomal RNA". It matches the Rfam family "Bacterial small subunit ribosomal RNA", at positions 524 to 776 of the family's 1533-position model. The record is from RNAcentral.